AGGCAAUUUGAUAUCAUAAUAGAGCACUGCAGACACAAUGCUGAGUGAAGAGGAGUAGAAAUGGGAAGACUUGGUUGAGCAGAAACUGAAUUCUUGAAAAGAGGAGAUGCUCGAUGAGGGAUCAGACUGUAUUCCCCAGGCUGGAGUGCAGUGGCAUGAUCAUGGCUCAAUGCAGCCUAAACCUCCUGGACUCAGGUGAUCCUUUCACCUCCACUUCCUGAGUAGCUGGGACUACAGGCAUGGAUUCCUGAGGUCUGCCCCAAUACUACAAGACAAUUUGAUAUAAGAAAACACAGCAGAUACAAUGCUGAGUGAAGAAGAGUAGAAAUGAGAAGAUUGGUUGUGCAGAUACUGAGUUC
This 359-nucleotide long non-coding RNA is filed under the name Papio anubis (olive baboon). RNAcentral's name for it is "lncRNA (ENSPANG00000039771.1)". The record is from RNAcentral. Lineage: Eukaryota; Metazoa; Chordata; Mammalia; Primates; Cercopithecidae.